AGCUACAUUGGGUGGAAGGAGCGAACAGCAAACAUAGUAACAAAACACAGUAAAAUCAAAACUUUCAACAACGGAUCUCUUGGUUCUCGCAUCGAUGAAGAACGCAGCGAAAUGCGAUAAGUAAUACGAAUUGCAGCCUUCGUGAGUCAUUGAAUCUUUGAACGCACAUUGCGCCCGCGGGCAUUCCCGCGGGCACGCCUGUUUGAGCAUGACAUCUCCCUCCACGGGUGUUGGGCAGUAGCCUGAAGUUGUUGAGUGGUGUGUGAUACGCAUUCGCACUGCUUUUGACGUUUUCUCAAAUCAGGUGGGACUACCCGCUGAACUUAAGCAUAUCAAUAAGCGGAGGA
This 347-nucleotide ribosomal RNA is filed under the name Wilhelminamyces savonicus. Its description in RNAcentral is "eukaryotic LSU rRNA". The stretch from base 60 to 212 matches the Rfam family "5.8S ribosomal RNA". The record is from RNAcentral. Lineage: Eukaryota; Fungi; Ascomycota; Pichiomycetes; Serinales; Metschnikowiaceae.